UGGGGAAUUUUGGACAAUGGGCGAAAGCCUGAUCCAGCAAUGCCGCGUGUGUGAAGAAGGCCUUCGGGUUGUAAAGCACUUUUGUCCGGAAAGAAAUCCUUGGCUCUAAUACAGUCGGGGGAUGACGGUACCGGAAGAAUAAGCACCGGCUAACUACGUGCCAGCAGCCGCGGUAAUACGUAGGGUGCAAGCGUUAAUCGGAAUUACUGGGCGUAAAGCGUGCGCAGGCGGUUUGCUAAGACCGAUGUGAAAUCCCCGGGCUCAACCUGGGAACUGCAUUGGUGACUGGCAGGCUAGAGUAUGGCAGAGGGGGGUAGAAUUCCACGUGUAGCAGUGAAAUGCGUAGAGAUGUGAGAAUACCGAUGGCGAAGGCAGCCCCCUGGGCCAAUACUGACGCUCAUGCACGAAAGCGUGGGGAGCAAAACAGGAUUAGAUACCCUGGUAGUCCACGCCCUAAACGAUGUCAACUAGUUGUUGGGGAUUCAUUCCUUAGUACGUAGCUAACGCGUGAAGUUGACCGCCUGGGGAGUACGGUCGCAAGAUUAAAACUCAAAUGAAUUGACGGGGUCAUAGCUG
Molecule: ribosomal RNA, 576 nt
Filed under: uncultured bacterium
Lineage: Bacteria
Description: partial 16S ribosomal RNA
Rfam family: Bacterial small subunit ribosomal RNA
Source: RNAcentral